GCAGUCGAGCGGGGAAGGUAGCUUGCUACCUGACCUAGCGGCGGACGGGUGAGUAAUGCUUAGGAAUCUGCCUAUUAGUGGGGGACAACAUUCCGAAAGGAAUGCUAAUACCGCAUACGCCCUACGGGGGAAAGCAGGGGAUCUUCGGACCUUGCGCUAAUAGAUGAGCCUAAGUCAGAUUAGCUAGUUGGUGGGGUAAAGGCCUACCAAGGCGACGAUCUGUAGCGGGUCUGAGAGGAUGAUCCGCCACACUGGGACUGAGACACGGCCCAGACUCCUACGGGAGGCAGCAGUGGGGAAUAUUGGACAAUGGGCGAAAGCCUGAUCCAGCCAUGCCGCGUGUGUGAAGAAGGCCUUUUGGUUGUAAAGCACUUUAAGCGAGGAGGAGGCUACUUGGAUUAAUACUCUAGGAUAGUGGACGUUACUCGCAGAAUAAGCACCGGCUAACUCUGUGCCAGCAGCCGCGGUAAUACAGAGGGUGCGAGCGUUAAUCGGAUUUACUGGGCGUAAAGCGUGCGUAGGCGGCUUCUUAAGUCGGAUGUGAAAUCCCUGAGCUUAACUUAGGAAUUGCAUUCGAUACUGGGAAGCUAGAGUAUGGGAGAGGAUGGUAGAAUUCCAGGUGUAGCGGUGAAAUGCGUAGAGAUCUGGAGGAAUACCGAUGGCGAAGGCAGCCAUCUGGCCUAAUACUGACGCUGAGGUACGAAAGCAUGGGGAGCAAACAGGAUUAGAUACCCUGGUAGUCCAUGCCGUAAACGAUGUCUACUAGCCGUUGGGGCCUUUGAGGCUUUAGUGGCGCAGCUAACGCGAUAAGUAGACCGCCUGGGGAGUACGGUCGCAAGACUAAAACUCAAAUGAAUUGACGGGGGCCCGCACAAGCGGUGGAGCAUGUGGUUUAAUUCGAUGCAACGCGAAGAACCUUACCUGGUCUUGACAUAGUAAGAACUUUCCAGAGAUGGAUUGGUGCCUUCGGGAACUUACAUACAGGUGCUGCAUGGCUGUCGUCAGCUCGUGUCGUGAGAUGUUGGGUUAAGUCCCGCAACGAGCGCAACCCUUUUCCUUAUUUGCCAGCGAGUAAUGUCGGGAACUUUAAGGAUACUGCCAGUGACAAACUGGAGGAAGGCGGGGACGACGUCAAGUCAUCAUGGCCCUUACGACCAGGGCUACACACGUGCUACAAUGGUCGGUACAAAGGGUUGCUACCUAGCGAUAGGAUGCUAAUCUCAAAAAGCCGAUCGUAGUCCGGAUUGGAGUCUGCAACUCGACUCCAUGAAGUCGGAAUCGCUA
This 1284-nucleotide ribosomal RNA is filed under the name uncultured Acinetobacter sp. Its description in RNAcentral is "bacterial SSU rRNA". It matches the Rfam family "Bacterial small subunit ribosomal RNA", at positions 57 to 1337 of the family's 1533-position model. Lineage: Bacteria; Pseudomonadati; Pseudomonadota; Gammaproteobacteria; Moraxellales; Moraxellaceae. The record is from RNAcentral.